This 90-nucleotide transfer RNA is filed under the name Mycolicibacterium mageritense. RNAcentral's name for it is "tRNA-Arg". Lineage: Bacteria; Bacillati; Actinomycetota; Actinomycetes; Mycobacteriales; Mycobacteriaceae. RNAcentral also lists the same sequence under 1 other name. The record is from RNAcentral.
GGCCGUGGCGGCUCGGGUGACUGGCCCGGCUCCGGCUCGGGUGGUUCCGGUGGCUGGAACCCCGGUGGUUCGGACUCCGGUCGCGGCGGC